UUCUAGAUGCCCUCUGAUGGGAGAUAAACUUCAUGAAGGUUCAGGGGUCUGCCACUUGGUGAAGUUUUCAGGGCCCCUCUUAGCCUGGAGCAGGAGUUGGCAAAUUUUAUCUUUAAUAAAUAUUUUAGGCUUUGCAGGGCAUAAGGUAUCCGUCACCACUACUCAGUUUUGCCAUUGUAGCGUGAAACCAGCCAUAGACAAUAGUUAAAUGAAUGGAUGCGGCUGUGUUCCAAUAAAACUUCAUUUACAAAAAUAGGAGGGGGAUCAUAUUUGGUCUGUGGAUAGCUGUUGGCCAACCCCCACCCUAGAGGAGACACUCCUUCUAAAGUAAAGGACAGAUUGUUGCUCGUCACUCCUCUACCGCUGAGAAAGAGGCACAACACUUGGUUGUAUUUUGAUGGUAGCAUUUACCACACUUGGGAGUAUUGUUUUGACCCUUAAUCAGGUGACUCAGGAGGCUUCCAGUUUUGACUACAACCCUGAGAAAAGAGGACUCUGCAGCCAAUCCAGGCUGUGAUGCCAGCUGUCCUGCUGCUUCAGCCAUGUGACCAGCAGUUACCAUGGUGCCCAAAAUGUCUAUGGGAGCAUCCACUUCAGAAGAGACCGCCACUACCACUCCACCCACUUCCCUCCACCACCCUAGCCUCUCUCCUUGGCCAUCCUAGAACUUGCCAGAACCUUAUGUAAAAGACUGCUUUCACGUGACUGUAUCAGAGAAAGGAGGGCAUCUCCAAAUACAGAAGGUGGAAAAAUGAAGAUUUGACCGAACUUCCCCAACUGGCACAGGGAAGGAUUUGCUUAGAGCAAGCAUUGGCUGUUUCCAGCCAGUUGUAAAACAGUAAACAGCUCAUAUGAUCAUAAAUGGGCAUGUCCCAGAAAUUCAUAGCGAUAUUUUAUUUCCCCAUCAAGACCAGGAAAUUCAGCCUCUGAAUUUUUCAGUCUGAAAAAGAUAUAACCAAUCACAUUCCAGAGUGGGAAAGUGGGGAUUUUUUUCUUUUGAAAGUUUUUCAAAAUCAAGGUUUCUAGCUAUGAGUUUUUGUGCAAACAACCCAAUUUCUCUUUGCCUUAGUUUCCUUAUUGUAAAAUGAAGAUGACAAUAGCCCCUGCCUCAUAGGGUUGUUGUGAGAAUUAAUAUGCCUAAGAUACUUAGAACAGUCCCUGGCACCAUGCAAGCAUUAGCUAUUAUUAACACUAUUAUUGUAACUAUUGGGUCAGAAUUAAAAUUACAUUAGAAUUAGAAUUUUAAUAUUCUUUAUAAAUUCUGCUAGUGUUUACCUUUUGAAAAAAUCUAGAAAAUUAUACACUUAAAAAUAAAUAUUAAGAAAAAACUUGAUAUAGGAGGGUGAGGAAAAUCAUAUUGUCCAUAUUAUAGUCAGAGAAAGGCUGCUCAUUGGGAGAUGUGUGCAUACUGCAUGGCAAGUUGACUGAGUCUUGUGUUACAGUGAUUUUUAUUUUGUAUUGUGCCAAGCCAACUGGGAAACAUGUAAAGAGGGAUUUUUUAUAAUAAUAUCAAAAUACAUAGGAAUAACUCUAACUAAAAAGAAUCAGUAUUAGUUGAUGAGUUUCUUGACACAGAGUUUUUGCUUUGAGGCUGUAUUUAUGCAAUUGUGAUCAUAUGCCCCCAGAGGGCUUUUGUCAAUGACUUCCGGAUACAGAUAGGAUAAA
Long non-coding RNA from Aethalodelphis obliquidens (Pacific white-sided dolphin), 1665 nucleotides. RefSeq lists it as uncharacterized. The record is from RefSeq and is a predicted model, not a curated record. The transcript has 3 exons. Lineage: Eukaryota; Metazoa; Chordata; Mammalia; Artiodactyla; Delphinidae.